Ictalurus punctatus (channel catfish) is the source of this 3341-nucleotide long non-coding RNA. NCBI's taxonomy places the organism in Eukaryota, Metazoa, Chordata, Actinopteri, Siluriformes, Ictaluridae. The record is from Ensembl.
AGAGAGAAGGAGAGAGAGAAGGAGAGAGAGAAGGAGAAGGAGGGUGACAGAAGGUGGCUGUAUCCAUGGUUGCAUGGCUCGAAUGAUUUGGGUCAGUGCAUGGAUUCAGAUGAUCUGAGGUAAGAGUCACACACUGAAUAUGAUCAUAGUUAACUGUAAGUGGAGUAAGUGGAGUAUUGUCCAGUAUUAUUGUGUGCAGUGGUGUGUACAAUUCAUUGGUAUUUUUAAACUGGCGUGUAAAUAAUUUUAACAGGAUAACACCUGUUAAAUGGGGUCCUCAAAUAUCGCAUUAUAACAUUGCCUUAUGAACUGAAAUCGUAUGAUAUAUGUGUGUGUGUGUGUGUGUGUGUGUGUGUGUGUGUGUGUGUGUGUGUGUGUGUGGAAGCCUGAGGUUUACACAUCUGCUAUUCUCGACUGAGAUACUAUACGCACAAUGCCCUAAGUGUUUUUAUGCGGGAUGUACUGUUCCAACGCUUGUGGUAAUUAAUGCUCACUCUUAGUGCUAGCGUAACUUUGGAAACCCGUAACUACACUAGCGUAAACAAACACAGUGAAGACAGCACUGCCUGGACAAACACAAGCUCCGUGCUAAAGGAACGUCAGGGUUUCAGCAGUAAACCUGUCUCUAAUGACUUUUCGGUUUGAAUCAGGAGCUCCGUGUUGCUUAUCGUGCAGCAGAUGAGUGAAUAAUCAAGCGCACACGGUGAACUGCUGUGUAACUGAUUGUGAUGGAUUUCACACACACACACACACACACUCACACACACACACUCCACUCCACUGGAUCUUACUCUCCACUAGAUUCUGUGCACGAACUGCACCAAAUUUGGUUUUGAUCUCCCCCUGUGUCGCCGCCUCUCACAGGCGGAGCGAGCGCUUAUCUCUGAAUUAUUGAACGAGUCUCCGUCUCAGUGUGUUUCAGAAGCACGGUGUAUUCGGCAUUAAGCAGCCCCCCUGUCAGAAACCUAUUUAAUAAUACACAGAGGAGCACAAACACACUUUCAAAUUGAGAGCGAUUGCACGGCGUCCCUGAAGAUGAUCGUUCGUUCAUCCCUCCGUCUCGCCCCUCUGUCUGUCUGAGUGAAGAAUGAGCCGGGAUUCACAAAGUGAACGCUUCAAAUCACAUUCCUGUCAGAGCAAACAGGAGGAGUGGAGAGACACUGUGCAUGAAGAGUCAGUACAAACACACACACACACACACACACUGACAUACACAUACUCACACUAUACGCACACACACAAAUGGGAUUUUAGAGUGUAUGCAAGUUCAAAUCCCAGAACUGCCAAGCACGUCAGUAAUUAAGUCAGUGAGUAAGUCAGUAAAUUAGUAAAUCAGUAAUUAAGUCAGUGAGUAAGUCAGUAAAUUAGUAAAUCAGUAAUUAAGUCAGUGAGUAAGUCAGUGAGUAAGUCGGUAAAUUAGUAAGUCAGUAAUUAGGUCAGUAAUUAAGUCAGUAGUUAAGUCAGUAGGUAAGUCAGUGAGUAAGUCAGUAAAUUAGUAAGUCAGUAAUAAAGUCAGUAAGUCAGUAAUCAAGUCAGUGAGUAAUUCAGUAAAUUAGUCAGUAAUUAAGUCAGUAAGUCAGUAAAUUAGUUAGUCAGUAAUUAAGUCAGUAAGAAGGUCAGUGGAUAAGUCAGUAAAUUAGUAAGUCAGUAAUAAAGUCAGUAAGUGAGUCAGUAAUCAAGUCAGUGAGUAAGUCAGUAAAUUAGUUAGUCAGUAAUUAAGUCAGUGAGUAAGUCAGUAAAUUAGUAAGUCGGUAAUUAAGUCAGUAAUCAAGUCAGUAAGUAAGUCAGUAAUCAAGUCAGUGAGUAAGUCAGUAAUUUAGUUAGUCAGUAAUUAAGUCAGUAAGUUAGUAAGUCAGUAUUUAAUUCCGUAAGUGAGUCAGUAAGUUAUUAAAGAGUAAGGCAGCACAUGAGUCAUUAAUUCAUUAAGUGAGUAAGUUGCUAAGUUAGUGAGUUAUUAAGUCUGUAAAUUAUUAAGUCAGUAAUUAAUUCAGUGAGUCAUUACAUUAUUAAAUAAGUGAGACGGUUAGUAAGUUGGUAAGUCAGGAAGUAAGUGAGUAAUUCAGUCAGUAAGUGAGUCAGUUAGCUAUUAAGUCAGUGAUUAUGUCGGUAAGUCAGUAAUUUAGUAAAUCAGUAAAUUAGUACAUCAGUGAGUAAGUCAGGAAGUAAGUGAGUAAGUGCUAAGUUAGUAAGUCAGUAUGUUAAUAAGUAACGUUAAUAAGUAUGUUCUUAAUGAGUUAGUUAACGUUAAUGAGUAAGUCAGUAAGUGAGUAAGUACUAAGUUAGUAAGUCAGUAAGUUAAGUCAGUUAUUAAAUGAGUCAGUAAGUGAGUAAGUGAGUGAGUCAGUCAGUCAUUAAAGCAGUCAGCUUUAGUAAGCUGCCACUGUAGUGCCCUUGAGCAAUGCCCUAAACCCUCCUCUGUUCAGCUCAGGUAUAACUUUGGAGAACAAGCGUCUUCCGAAUGCAUAAACAUAAAAGUUUUCAGUGACAGCUGCUGAUUUAAAGGCUGUGAUUUUAAUACUAUGCAUAGUACAGUAAAAUAGUGCAGUAAAGUAGUACAGCAAAAAGUACAGUAAAAUAGUACAGUUAAAUAGUACAGUAAAGUAGUACAAUAAAAUAGUACAGUAAAAUAGUACAGUAAAUAGUACAGUAAAGUAGUACAGUAAAUAGUACAGUAAAAUAGUACACUUAAAUAGUACAGUAAAGUAGUACAGUAAAAUAGUACAGUAAAAUAGUACACUUAAAUAGUACAGUAAAGUAGUACAGUAAAUAGUACAAUAAAAUAGUACAGUUAAAUAGUACAAUAAAUAGUACAGUAAAAUAGUACAGUAAAAAAGUACAGUAAAAUAGUACACUUAAAUAGUACAGUAAAGUAGUACAGUAAAAUAGUACAAUAAAAUAGUACAGUUAAAUAGUACAGUAAAAUAGUUACAAUAAAAUAGUACAGUAAAAUAGUACAAUAAAGUAGUACAGUAAAAUAGUACAGUUAAAUUGUACAGUAAAAAGUACAGUAAAACAGUACAGUUAAAUAGUACAGUAAAGUAGUACAAUUAAACAGAACAGUAAAGUAGUACAGUAAUACUACAGUAAAGUAAUAUGGUAAAAUAAUUCAGUAAAAUAGUACAGUAAGUAGUACAGUAAAGUAGUACAGUAAAAUAGUACAGUAAAGUAGUACAGUAAAAUAGUAUGGUAAAAUAGUGCAUAAAAUAGUACAGUAAAGUAAUACAGUAAAGAAGUACGGUAAAGAAGUACAGGGGCGGAAAAGGGGGUGAGAGGGAAAACAUCUUAUUUUUAUCAGGAAGACAUCGCUCUCUCUCUCUCUCUCUCUCUCUCUUCUCCUCUCU